This 465-nucleotide ribosomal RNA is filed under the name Vreelandella stevensii. RNAcentral describes it as "partial 16S ribosomal RNA". It matches the Rfam family "Bacterial small subunit ribosomal RNA", at positions 338 to 795 of the family's 1533-position model. Lineage: Bacteria; Pseudomonadati; Pseudomonadota; Gammaproteobacteria; Oceanospirillales; Halomonadaceae. The record is from RNAcentral.
CCUACGGGAGGCUGCAGUGGGGAAUAUUGGACAAUGGGCGAAAGCCUGAUCCAGCCAUGCCGCGUGUGUGAAGAAGGCCUUCGGGUUGUAAAGCACUUUCAGUGGGGAAGAAAGCCUUGGGGCUAAUACCCUCGAGGAAGGACAUCACCCACAGAAGAAGCACCGGCUAACUCCGUGCCAGCAGCCGCGGUAAUACGGAGGGUGCGAGCGUUAAUCGGAAUUACUGGGCGUAAAGCGCGCGUAGGCGGUCUGAUAAGCCGGUUGUGAAAGCCCCGGGCUCAACCUGGGAACGGCAUCCGGAACUGUCAGGCUAGAGUGCAGGAGAGGAAGGUAGAAUUCCCGGUGUAGCGGUGAAAUGCGUAGAGAUCGGGAGGAAUACCGGUGGCGAAGGCGGCCUUCUGGACUGACACUGACGCUGAGGUGCGAAAGCGUGGGUAGCAAACAGGAUUAGAUACCCUUGUAGUC